Molecule: ribosomal RNA, 301 nt
Filed under: uncultured bacterium
Lineage: Bacteria
Description: partial 16S ribosomal RNA
Rfam family: Bacterial small subunit ribosomal RNA
Source: RNAcentral
CAGCAGCCACGGGAAUACGGAGGGUGCAAGCGUUAAUCGGAAUUACUGGGCGUAAAGCGCACGCAGGCGGUUUGUUAAGUCAGAUGUGAAAUCCCCGAGCUUAACUUGGGAACUGCAUUUGAAACUGGCAAGCUAGAGUCUUGUAGAGGGGGGUAGAAUUCCAGGUGUAGCGGUGAAAUGCGUAGAGAUCUGGAGGAAUACCGGUGGCGAAGGCGGCCCCCUGGACAAAGACUGACGCUCAGGUGCGAAAGCGUGGGGAGCAAACAGGAUUAGAUACCCGAGUAGUCCCUGUCUCUUAUAC